UGCUUAACACAUGCAAGUCGAACGGGAAACAUUUUAUUGAAGCUUCGGCAGAUUUAGCUUGGUUUCUAGUGGCGGACGGGUGAGUAACGCGUGGGUAACCUGCCUUAUACUGGGGGAUAACAGCCAGAAAUGACUGCUAAUACCGCAUAAGCGCACAGGACCGCAUGGUUCGGUGUGAAAAACUCCGGUGGUAUAAGAUGGACCCGCGUUGGAUUAGCUAGUUGGCAGGGCAGCGGCCUACCAAGGCGACGAUCCAUAGCCGGCCUGAGAGGGUGAACGGCCACAUUGGGACUGAGACACGGCCCAGACUCCUACGGGAGGCAGCAGUGGGGAAUAUUGCACAAUGGGGGAAACCCUGAUGCAGCGACGCCGCGUGAAGGAAGAAGUAUCUCGGUAUGUAAACUUCUAUCAGCAGGGAAGAUAAUGACGGUACCUGACUAAGAAGCCCCGGCUAACUACGUGCCAGCAGCCGCGGUAAUACGUAGGGGGCAAGCGUUAUCCGGAUUUACUGGGUGUAAAGGGAGCGUAGACGGCGCAGCAAGUCUGAUGUGAAAGGCAGGGGCUUAACCCCUGGACUGCAUUGGAAACUGCUGUGCUUGAGUGCCGGAGGGGUAAGCGGAAUUCUAAGUGUAGCGGUGAAAUGCGUAGAUAUUAGGAGGAACACCAGUGGCGAAGGCGGCUU
Molecule: ribosomal RNA, 682 nt
Filed under: uncultured Lachnospiraceae bacterium
Lineage: Bacteria; Bacillati; Bacillota; Clostridia; Lachnospirales; Lachnospiraceae
Description: bacterial SSU rRNA
Rfam family: Bacterial small subunit ribosomal RNA
Source: RNAcentral